UACGUAGGGUGCGAGCGUUGUUCGGAUUUACUGGGCGUAAAGGGCGCGUAGGCGGCAAUUCAAGUCAGCUGUGAAAUCUCCGGGCUUAACUCGGAACGGUCAGCUGAUACUGCUUUGCUAGAGUGCAGAAGGGGCAAUCGGAAUUCUUGGUGUAGCGGUGAAAUGCGUAGAUAUCAAGAGGAACACCUGAGGUGAAGACGGGUUGCUGGGCUGACACUGACGCUGAGUGCGCGAAAGCUAGGGUAGCAAACGGG
This 254-nucleotide ribosomal RNA is filed under the name uncultured bacterium. RNAcentral describes it as "partial 16S ribosomal RNA". It matches the Rfam family "Bacterial small subunit ribosomal RNA", at positions 524 to 776 of the family's 1533-position model. The record is from RNAcentral.